Molecule: ribosomal RNA, 478 nt
Filed under: uncultured bacterium
Lineage: Bacteria
Description: partial 16S ribosomal RNA
Rfam family: Bacterial small subunit ribosomal RNA
Source: RNAcentral
GACGAACGCUGGCGGCGUGCUUAACACAUGCAAGUCGAACGUGAUUUUUGUGGAAAUUCUUUCGGGAAUGGAAAUGAAAUGAAAGUGGCGAACGGGUGAGUAACACGUGAGCAACCUACCUUACACAGGGGGAUAGCCGUUGGAAACGACGAUUAAUACCGCAUGAGACCACAGAAUCGCAUGAUAUAGGGGUCAAAGAUUUAUCGGUGUAAGAAGGGCUCGCGUCUGAUUAGCUAGUUGGAAGGGUAAAGGCCUACCAAGGCGACGAUCAGUAGCCGGUCUGAGAGGAUGACCGGCCACAUUGGAACUGAGACACGGUCCAAACUCCUACGGGAGGCAGCAGUGGGGAAUAUUGCACAAUGGGGGGAACCCUGAUGCAGCGACGCCGCGUGAGCGAAGAAGGUUUUCGAAUCGUAAAGCUCUGUCCUAUGAGAAGAUAAUGACGGUAGCAUAGGAGGAAGCCCCGGCUAAAUACGUG